This 254-nucleotide ribosomal RNA is filed under the name uncultured bacterium. RNAcentral describes it as "partial 16S ribosomal RNA". It matches the Rfam family "Bacterial small subunit ribosomal RNA", at positions 524 to 776 of the family's 1533-position model. The record is from RNAcentral.
UACAGAGGGUGCAAGCGUUAAUCGGAAUUACUGGGCGUAAAGCGUGCGUAGUCGGUUAUCUAAGUCGGGUGUGAAAUCCCCCGGGCUCAACCUGGGAAUUGCAUUCGAUACUGGAUAGCUAGAGUUCGGCAGAGGGAAGCGGAAUUUCCGGUGUAGCGGUGAAAUGCGUAGAUAUCGGAAGGAACAUCAGUGGCGAAAGCGGCUUCCUGGACCAGAACUGACGAUCAGGCACGAAAGCGUGGGGAGCAAACAGG